RNAcentral lists this ribosomal RNA (424 nucleotides) under uncultured bacterium. RNAcentral describes it as "partial 16S ribosomal RNA". It matches the Rfam family "Bacterial small subunit ribosomal RNA", at positions 360 to 776 of the family's 1533-position model. The record is from RNAcentral.
AAUAUUGGACAAUGGGCGAAAGCCUGAUCCAGCCAUGCCGCGUGUGUGAAGAAGGUCUUCGGAUUGUAAAGCACUUUAAGCUGGGAGGAAGGGUUGUAGGUUAAUACUCUGCAAUCUUGACGUUACCAACAGAAUAAGCACCGGCUCACUUCGUGCCAGCAGCCGCGGUACUACGAAGGGUUCAAGCGUUAAUGGGAAUUACUGGGCGUAAAGCGCGCGUAGUUGGUUCGUGAAGUUGGAAGUGGAAGCCCCGGGCUUAACCUGGGAAUUGCUUUCAAAACUGACGAGCUAGAGUACGGUAGAGGGUAGUGGAAUUUCCUGUGUAGCGGUGAAAUGCGUAGAUAUAGGAAGGAACAUCAGUGGCGAAGGCGACUACCUGGACUGAUACUGACACUGAGGUGCGAAAGCGUGGGGAGCAAACAGG